Corvus hawaiiensis (hawaiian crow) is the source of this 522-nucleotide long non-coding RNA. RefSeq lists it as uncharacterized. The transcript has 2 exons. NCBI's taxonomy places the organism in Eukaryota, Metazoa, Chordata, Aves, Passeriformes, Corvidae. The record is from RefSeq and is a predicted model, not a curated record.
UCCACACCAAGAAGGGUGCUUUGGGAGUGGGUUUCACAUUGAGCACGAUGCUUUAGGAACAGGCAGCAACCACCUGUAACAUUUUAAUUCACCUCCUUGUCCAGAUUUUUCCAGGCUAGAGCUCAGGUAAUGCUCUCCUCAGCUGCCACUGAUGGUCAGGGUGCUACAGGAGGAGAAGCACUGACUGGAUUGCUACAGUUUGUGUAGGAAAAGGAAUUCAUUGCAUCUCAGAGAACUGGGAAGAAGAAGAGAUUUCAUAAAAAGCAAACAAACCAAACCAGAGAGGAUGCACAGGAUAAAGAGUAUUUGGCUCCACACCUUUAAUCACAGUGCCACGUCAGGGAGCGUUUGCAUUGGUGUACCUGCUUUAUUUUACCUUUUAUUUUCACCUAAGAAAUUGAAGCAGUUGUGACCCACCCUAAUUUCUAGAGCUGACAUAAUGCCUUGGCAAGGCAACAAGACCCCUGUCCCAGCCAGGAGCCAGCUGCAGAAAAGUAGGGAAAAUAAACUGCUCUGGAAUUU